Molecule: ribosomal RNA, 253 nt
Filed under: uncultured bacterium
Lineage: Bacteria
Description: partial 16S ribosomal RNA
Rfam family: Bacterial small subunit ribosomal RNA
Source: RNAcentral
UACAGAGGGGGCAAGCGUUAUUCGGAAUUAUUGGGCGUAAAGCGCGCGUAGGUGGCCUCAUAAGUCCGUUGUGAAAGUCAAAGGCUCAACCUUUGAAAGCCGAUGGAUACUGUGAGACUAGAGUACGGAAGAGGCGAGUGGAAUUCCUGGUGUAGCGGUGGAAUGCGCAGAUAUCAGGAGGAACACCAAUAGCGAAGGCAGCUCGCUGGGACGUUACUGACACUGAGGCGCGAAAGCGUGGGGAGCGAACAGG